GGUCAAGUGAAGAAGCGCAUACGGUGGAUGCCUUGGCAGUCAGAGGCGAUGAAAGACGUGGUAGCCUGCGAAAAGCUUCGGGGAGUCGGCAAACAGACUUUGAUCCGGAGAUGUCUGAAUGGGGGAACCCAGCCAUCAUAAGAUGGUUACCUUACACUGAAUACAUAGGUGUAAGGGGCGAACCAGGGGAACUGAAACAUCUAAGUACCCUGAGGAAAAGAAAUCAACCGAGAUUCCCUUAGUAGUGGCGAGCGAACGGGGACUAGCCCUUAAGUGGCUUUGAGAUUAGCGGAACGCUCUGGAAAGUGCGGCCAUAGUGGGUGAUAGCCCUGUACGCGAAAAUCUCUUAGUCAUGAAAUCGAGUAGGACGGAGCACGAGAAACUUUGUCUGAAUAUGGGGGGACCAUCCUCCAAGGCUAAAUACUACUGACUGACCGAUAGUGAACUAGUACCGUGAGGGAAAGGCGAAAAGAACCCCGGAGAGGGGAGUGAAAUAGAUCCUGAAACCGUAUGCGUACAAGCAGUGGGAGCAGACUUUGUUCUGUGACUGCGUACCUUUUGUAUAAUGGGUCAGCGACUUAUUUUCAGUGGCGAGCUUAACCGAAUAGGGGAGGCGUAGCGAAAGCGAGUCUUAAUAGGGCGUCUAGUCGCUGGGAAUAGACCCGAAACCGGGCGAUCUAUCCAUGGGCAGGUUGAAGGUUGGGUAACACUAACUGGAGGACCGAACCGACUACCGUUGAAAAGUUAGCGGAUGACCUGUGGAUCGGAGUGAAAGGCUAAUCAAGCUCGGAGAUAGCUGGUUCUCCUCGAAAGCUAUUUAGGUAGCGCCUCAUGUAUCACUGUAGGGGGUAGAGCACUGUUUCGGCUAGGGGGUCAUCCCGACUUACCAAACCGAUGCAAACUCCGAAUACCUACAAGUGCCGAGCAUGGGAGACACACGGCGGGUGCUAACGUCCGUCGUGAAAAGGGAAACAACCCAGACCGUCAGCUAAGGUCCCAAAGUUAUGGUUAAGUGGGAAACGAUGUGGGAAGGCUUAGACAGCUAGGAGGUUGGCUUAGAAGCAGCCACCCUUUAAAGAAAGCGUAAUAGCUCACUAGUCGAGUCGGCCUGCGCGGAAGAUGUAACGGGGCUCAAACCAUACACCGAAGCUACGGGUAUCACGUAAGUGAUGCGGUAGAGGAGCGUUCUGUAAGCCUGUGAAGGUGAGUUGAGAAGCUUGCUGGAGGUAUCAGAAGUGCGAAUGCUGACAUGAGUAACGACAAUGGGUGUGAAAAACACCCACGCCGAAAGACCAAGGUUUCCUGCGCAACGUUAAUCGACGCAGGGUUAGUCGGUCCCUAAGGCGAGGCUGAAAAGCGUAGUCGAUGGAAAACAGGUUAAUAUUCCUGUACUUCUGGUUAUUGCGAUGGAGGGACGGAGAAGGCUAGGCCAGCUUGGCGUUGGUUGUCCAAGUUUAAGGUGGUAGGCUGGAAUCUUAGGUAAAUCCGGGAUUCUAAGGCCGAGAGCUGAUGACGAGCUAACUUUUAGUUAGCGAAGUGGUUGAUGCCAUGCUUCCAAGAAAAGCUUCUAAGCUUCAGGUAACCAGGAACCGUACCCCAAACCGACACAGGUGGUUGGGUAGAGAAUACCAAGGCGCUUGAGAGAACUCGGGUGAAGGAACUAGGCAAAAUGGCACCGUAACUUCGGGAGAAGGUGCGCCGGUGAGGGUGAAGGACUUGCUCCGUAAGCUCAUGCCGGUCGAAGAUACCAGGCCGCUGCGACUGUUUAUUAAAAACACAGCACUCUGCAAACACGAAAGUGGACGUAUAGGGUGUGACGCCUGCCCGGUGCCGGAAGGUUAAUUGAUGGGGUUAGCUAACGCGAAGCUCUUGAUCGAAGCCCCGGUAAACGGCGGCCGUAACUAUAACGGUCCUAAGGUAGCGAAAUUCCUUGUCGGGUAAGUUCCGACCUGCACGAAUGGCGUAACGAUGGCGGCGCUGUCUCCACCCGAGACUCAGUGAAAUUGAAAUCGCUGUGAAGAUGCAGUGUAUCCGCGGCUAGACGGAAAGACCCCGUGAACCUUUACUAUAGCUUUGCACUGGACUUUGAAUUUGCUUGUGUAGGAUAGGUGGGAGGCUUUGAAGCGUGGACGCCAGUCUGCGUGGAGCCAACCUUGAAAUACCACCCUGGCAACUUUGAGGUUCUAACUCAGGUCCGUUAUCCGGAUCGAGGACAGUGUAUGGUGGGUAGUUUGACUGGGGCGGUCUCCUCCUAAAGAGUAACGGAGGAGUACGAAGGUGCGCUCAGACCGGUCGGAAAUCGGUCGUAGAGUAUAAAGGCAAAAGCGCGCUUGACUGCGAGACAGACACGUCGAGCAGGUACGAAAGUAGGUCUUAGUGAUCCGGUGGUUCUGUAUGGAAGGGCCAUCGCUCAACGGAUAAAAGGUACUCCGGGGAUAACAGGCUGAUACCGCCCAAGAGUUCAUAUCGACGGCGGUGUUUGGCACCUCGAUGUCGGCUCAUCACAUCCUGGGGCUGAAGCCGGUCCCAAGGGUAUGGCUGUUCGCCAUUUAAAGUGGUACGCGAGCUGGGUUUAGAACGUCGUGAGACAGUUCGGUCCCUAUCUGCCGUGGACGUUUGAGAUUUGAGAGGGGCUGCUCCUAGUACGAGAGGACCGGAGUGGACGAACCUCUGGUGUUCCGGUUGUCACGCCAGUGGCAUUGCCGGGUAGCUAUGUUCGGAAUAGAUAACCGCUGAAAGCAUCUAAGCGGGAAACUAGCCUCAAGAUGAGAUCUCACUGGAACCUUGAGUUCCCUGAAGGGCCGUCGAAGACUACGACGUUGAUAGGUUGGGUGUGUAAGCGCUGUGAGGCGUUGAGCUAACCAAUACUAAUUGCCCGUGAGGCUUGACCAU
RNAcentral lists this ribosomal RNA (2892 nucleotides) under Pseudomonas fluorescens. RNAcentral describes it as "23S ribosomal RNA". It matches the Rfam family "Bacterial large subunit ribosomal RNA". Lineage: Bacteria; Pseudomonadati; Pseudomonadota; Gammaproteobacteria; Pseudomonadales; Pseudomonadaceae. The record is from RNAcentral.